GAGCGGUAACAGGCGUAGCAAUACGUGCUGACGAGCGGCGAACGGGUGAGUAAUGCUUCNGGAAUCUACCCAGUAGUGGAGAAUAACCAGCCGAAAGGUUGGCUAAUACCGCAUACGUCCUACGGGAGAAAGCGGGGGAUCGUAAGACCUCGCGUUAUUGGAUGAGCCGAAGCCGGAUUAGCUAGUUGGUAGGGUAACGGCCUACCAAGGCGACGAUCCGUAGCUGGUCUGAGAGGACGACCAGCCACACUGGGACUGAGACACGGCCCAUACUCCUACGGGAGGCAGCAGUGGGGAAUAUUGGACAAUGGGGGAAACCCUGAUCCAGCGACGCCGCGUGUGUGAAGAAGGCCUGCGGGUUGUAAAGCACUUUUAGUGGGGACGAAAAGCCUAGGACUAACACUCCUGGGUCUUGACCUAACCCACAGAAAAAGCACCGGCUAACUCUGUGCCAGCAGCCGCGGUAAU
RNAcentral lists this ribosomal RNA (468 nucleotides) under uncultured bacterium. RNAcentral's name for it is "bacterial SSU rRNA". It matches the Rfam family "Bacterial small subunit ribosomal RNA", at positions 64 to 524 of the family's 1533-position model. The record is from RNAcentral.